GGCCCAAUCAAGAUUAUCUGCUGCAAUCUCACUCUUGCUCCAUUUUGGCUGGUGGGGUUCAUCUGACUCGACGCACUGGGAUCGCAUCUGUUCCAAUACCCUUUGGACACUGAAGGUGGUGGUGGGUUCACUGGAUAAUUUGGAGCAGCUACUGAAGAAUCUGAUUCUGUCAAAGGAUAGCUGGGGUCACUAAUAUUUGAUCUGAGAUGUGUCCCUCUGAGGUCCACUUACCUAAUUAUUCCACGAACCUUUGAUAGGUGUGCAAACCCAUUGAAGCAUCGCUUAGCUUGAGGCCUGAUGAUUGAGGUCACAAUGGGACGGCAUAGAUUUGCCC
Musa acuminata subsp. malaccensis (wild Malaysian banana) is the source of this 334-nucleotide non-coding RNA. The record is from RefSeq and is a predicted model, not a curated record. Lineage: Eukaryota; Viridiplantae; Streptophyta; Magnoliopsida; Zingiberales; Musaceae.